GUGGGGAAUAUUGGACAAUGGGCGAAAGCCUGAUCCAGCCAUGCCGCGUGUGUGAAGAAGGUCUUCGGAUUGUAAAGCACUUUAAGUUGGGAGGAAGGGCAGUAAGUUAAUACCUUGCUGUUUUGACGUUACCAACAGAAUAAGCACCGGCUAACUUCGUGCCAGCAGCCGCGGUAAUACGAAGGGUGCAAGCGUUAAUCGGAAUUACUGGGCGUAAAGCGCGCGUAGGUGGUUCAGCAAGUUGAAGGUGAAAUCCCCGGGCUCAACCUGGGAACUGCCUCCAAAACUACUGAGCUAGAGUACGGUAGAGGGUAGUGGAAUUUCCUGUGUAGCGGUGAAAUGCGUAGAUAUAGGAAGGAACACCAGUGGCGAAGGCGACUACCUGGACUGAUACUGACACUGAGGUGCUAAAGCGUGGGGAGCAAACAGGAUUAGAAACCCUUGUAGUCC
Molecule: ribosomal RNA, 450 nt
Filed under: uncultured bacterium
Lineage: Bacteria
Description: partial 16S ribosomal RNA
Rfam family: Bacterial small subunit ribosomal RNA
Source: RNAcentral